CAGUAGCCACGGUAAUACGGAGGGUGCAAGCGUUAUCCGGAUUUAUUGGGUUUAAAGGGUCCGUAGGCGGAUCUGUAAGUCAGUGGUGAAAUCUCACAGCUUAACUGUGAAACUGCCAUUGAUACUGCAGGUCUUGAGUAAAUUUGAAGUGGCUGGAAUAAGUAGUGUAGCGGUGAAAUGCAUAGAUAUUACUUAGAACACCAAUUGCGAAGGCAGGUCACUAAGAUUUAACUGACGCUGAUGGACGAAAGCGUGGGGAGCGAACAGGAUUAGAUACCCCGGUAGUCCCUGUCUCUUAUAA
This 301-nucleotide ribosomal RNA is filed under the name uncultured bacterium. Its description in RNAcentral is "partial 16S ribosomal RNA". It matches the Rfam family "Bacterial small subunit ribosomal RNA", at positions 509 to 809 of the family's 1533-position model. The record is from RNAcentral.